Molecule: ribosomal RNA, 422 nt
Filed under: uncultured eukaryote
Lineage: Eukaryota
Description: SSU rRNA
Rfam family: Eukaryotic small subunit ribosomal RNA
Source: RNAcentral
CAAUAGCGUAUAUUAAAGUUGUUGCGGUUAAAAAGCUCGUAGUUGGAUUUCUGCCGAGGACGACCGGUCCGCCCUCUGGGUGAGCAUCUGGAUCGGCCUGGGCAUCUUCUUGGGGAACGUAGCUGCACUUGACUGUGUGGUGCGGUAUCCAGGACUUUUACUUUGAGGAAAUUAGAGUGUUUCAAGCAGGCUUCCGCCUUGAAUACAUUAGCAUGGAAUAAUAAGAUAGGACCUCGGUUUUAUUUUGUUGGUUUUGAGGACUAGAGUAAUGAUUAAUAGGGAUAGUUGGGGGCAUUCAUAUUUAAUUGUCAGAGGUGAAAUUCUUGGAUUUAUGAAAGAUGAACUUCUGCGAAAGCAUUUGCCAAGGAUGUUUUCAUUAAUCAAGAACGAAAGUUCGGGGAUCGAAGACGAUUAGAUACCAU